GACGAACGCUGGCGGCGUGCUUAACACAUGCAAGUCGAACGGAAAGGCCCUGCUUUUGUGGGGUGCUCGAGUGGCGAACGGGUGAGUAACACGUGAGUAACCUGCCCUUGACUUUGGGAUAACUUCAGGAAACUGGGGCUAAUACCGGAUAGGAGCUCCUGCUGCAUGGUGGGGGUUGGAAAGUUUCGGCGGUUGGGGAUGGACUCGCGGCUUAUCAGCUUGUUGGUGGGGUAGUGGCUUACCAAGGCUUUGACGGGUAGCCGGCCUGAGAGGGUGACCGGCCACAUUGGGACUGAGAUACGGCCCAGACUCCUACGGGAGGCAGCAGUGGGGAAUAUUGCACAAUGGGCGGAAGCCUGAUGCAGCAACGCCGCGUGCGGGAUGACGGCCAUCGGGUUGUAAACCGCUUUCGCCUGUGACGAAGCGUGAGUGACGGUAAUGGGUAAAGAAGCACCGGCUAACUACGUG
This 468-nucleotide ribosomal RNA is filed under the name uncultured bacterium. RNAcentral describes it as "partial 16S ribosomal RNA". It matches the Rfam family "Bacterial small subunit ribosomal RNA", at positions 28 to 507 of the family's 1533-position model. The record is from RNAcentral.